GCGCGGGGUUCGGCCGCUCCAAGUUCGGCGGUGCCGUGGCUCGGAGGCGCUUUGGAGGCGGUGAUGGCAUCGCUGGGCUCGGUUUGCAGCGGCUGUCCGCUAAGGGAUACGGUGUUCUUCCUGAGCGGCACGGUUCUCGGUGCCGGUAGGGAUGAUAAAGGGUACUCACAAAAUAUGUCUCCCUUAGUGUCCCACAGAAACAUUCUGGGUGAAAUCUGAAUUAAGUGCUGUGAGUCUUGAUAAAUUGGAGAAGUGCCCAAGAGAAAUUCAUCAUCCUGAGAUACA
This is a long non-coding RNA of Melospiza melodia melodia, 285 nucleotides long. RefSeq lists it as uncharacterized. The transcript is spliced from 3 exons. The record is from RefSeq and is a predicted model, not a curated record. Lineage: Eukaryota; Metazoa; Chordata; Aves; Passeriformes; Passerellidae.